RNAcentral lists this ribosomal RNA (493 nucleotides) under uncultured bacterium. RNAcentral describes it as "bacterial SSU rRNA". It matches the Rfam family "Bacterial small subunit ribosomal RNA", at positions 8 to 518 of the family's 1533-position model. The record is from RNAcentral.
AGAGUUGAUCAUGGCUCAGGACGAACGCUGGCGGCGUGCUUCAUACAUGCAAGUCGAACGAGAAGCUCACUUCGGUGAGUGGAAAGUGGCGGACGGGUGAGUAAUGUGUAGAGAAUCUGCCCUAGGAGUGGGGGAUAGCAGUUGGAAACGACUAUUAAUACCCCAUAUGCGCGUAGCUGCGAUGCUAUUCGUGAAAGCUCCGGUGCUCUGGGAUGAGUCUGCAUCUGAUUAGCUAGUAGGCGGUGUAAUGGACCACCUAGGCGACGAUCAGUAGCUGGUUUGAGAGGAUGAUCAGCCACAAUGGGACUGAGACACGGCCCAUACUCCUACGGGAGGCAGCAGUAGGGAAUAUUGGGCAAUGGGCGAAAAAGCCUGACCCAGCAACGCCGCGUGAGUGAAGAAGGCCUUCGGGUUGUAAAGCUCUGUUAUAGGGGACGAAGGAAGUGACGGUACCCUAUAAGGAAGCCCCGGCUAACUACGUGCCAGCCGCAGC